RNAcentral lists this ribosomal RNA (247 nucleotides) under uncultured bacterium. Its description in RNAcentral is "partial small subunit ribosomal RNA". It matches the Rfam family "Bacterial small subunit ribosomal RNA", at positions 26 to 285 of the family's 1533-position model. The record is from RNAcentral.
AGAAUCAACGCUGGCGGCGUGCCUAACACAUGCAAGUCGAACGAGAAAGGGACUUCGGCCCUGAGUACAGUGGCGCACGGGUGAGUAACACGUGACUAACCUACCCUGGAGUGGGGAAUAACUGAGGGAAACCUUAGCUAAUACCGCAUAAUACCUACGGGUCAAAGGAGCAAUUCGGCUUCAGGAGGGGGUCGCGGCCGAUUAGCUAGGUUGGCGGGGUAAUGGCCCACCAAGGCAAUGAUCGGUA